This 545-nucleotide ribosomal RNA is filed under the name uncultured bacterium. Its description in RNAcentral is "partial 16S ribosomal RNA". It matches the Rfam family "Bacterial small subunit ribosomal RNA", at positions 355 to 892 of the family's 1533-position model. The record is from RNAcentral.
UGGGGAAUUUUGGACAAUGGGCGAAAGCCUGAUCCAGCAAUGCCGCGUGUGUGAAGAAGGCCUUCGGGUUGUAAAGCACUUUUGUCCGGAAAGAAAUCCUUGGCUCUAAUACAGUCGGGGGAUGACGGUACCGGAAGAAUAAGCACCGGCUAACUACGUGCCAGCAGCCGCGGUAAUACGUAGGGUGCAAGCGUUAAUCGGAAUUACUGGGCGUAAAGCGUGCGCAGGCGGUUUGCUAAGACCGAUGUGAAAUCCCCGGGCUCAACCUGGGAACUGCAUUGGUGACUGGCAGGCUAGAGUAUGGCAGAGGGGGGUAGAAUUCCACGUGUAGCAGUGAAAUGCGUAGAGAUGUGGAGGAAUACCGAUGGCGAAGGANCCCCCUGGGCCAAUACUGACGCUCAUGCACGAAAGCGUGGGGAGCAAACAGGAUUAGAUACCCUGGUAGUCCACGCCCUAAAACGAUGUCAACUAGUUGUUGGGGAUUCAUUUCCUUAGUAACGUAGCUAACGCGUGAAGUUGACCGCCUGGGGGAGUACGGUCGCAAA